Molecule: ribosomal RNA, 575 nt
Filed under: Aspergillus thermomutatus
Lineage: Eukaryota; Fungi; Ascomycota; Eurotiomycetes; Eurotiales; Aspergillaceae
Description: eukaryotic LSU rRNA
Rfam family: Eukaryotic large subunit ribosomal RNA
Source: RNAcentral
AAAGAAACCAACAGGGAUUGCCUCAGUAACGGCGAGUGAAGCGGCAAGAGCUCAAAUUUGAAAGCUGGCCCCCUCGGGGUCCGCGUUGUAAUUUGCAGAGGAUGCUUCGGGUGCAGCCCCCGUCUAAGUGCCCUGGAACGGGCCGUCAUAGAGGGUGAGAAUCCCGUCUGGGACGGGGUGUCUGCGUCCGUGUGAAGCUCCUUCGACGAGUCGAGUUGUUUGGGAAUGCAGCUCUAAAUGGGUGGUAAAUUUCAUCUAAAGCUAAAUACUGGCCGGAGACCGAUAGCGCACAAGUAGAGUGAUCGAAAGAUGAAAAGCACUUUGAAAAGAGAGUUAAACAGCACGUGAAAUUGUUGAAAGGGAAGCGUUUGCGACCAGACUCGCCCGCGGGGUUCAGCCGGCAUUCGUGCCGGUGUACUUCCCCGUGGGCGGGCCAGCGUCGGUUUGGGCGGCCGGUCAAAGGCCCUCGGAAUGUAUCACCCCUCGGGGUGUCUUAUAGCCGAGGGUGCAAUGCGGCCUGCCUGGACCGAGGAACGCGCUUCGGCUCGGACGCUGGCGUAAUGGUCGUAAAUGAC